RNAcentral lists this ribosomal RNA (456 nucleotides) under uncultured bacterium. RNAcentral's name for it is "bacterial SSU rRNA". It matches the Rfam family "Bacterial small subunit ribosomal RNA", at positions 340 to 786 of the family's 1533-position model. The record is from RNAcentral.
UACGGAAGGCAGCAGUGGGGAAUAUUGCACAAUGGGCGAAAGCCUGAUGCAGCUAUGCCGCGUGUAUGAAGAAGGCCUUAGGGUUGUAAAGUACUUUCAUCGGGGAGGAAAAAACAAAACUAAUAAUUUUAUUUCUUGACGUUACCCGAAAAAGAAGCACCGGCUAACUCCGUCGCCAGCAGCCGCGGUAAUACGGAGGGUGCUAGCGUUAAUCAGAAUUACUGGGCGUAAAGAGCACGUAGGUGGUUUUUUAAGUCAGAUGUGAAAUCCCUGGGCUUAACCUAGGAACUGCAUUUUGAAACUGAAAUACUAGAGUAUCGUAGAGGGAGGUAGAAUUCUAGGUGUAGCGGUGAAAUGCGUAGAUAUCUGGAGGAAUACCUGUGGCGAAAGCGGCCUCCUAAACGAAUACUGACACUGAGGUGCGAAAGCGUGGGGAGCAAACAGGGAUUAGAUACC